Molecule: long non-coding RNA, 142 nt
Organism: Neofelis nebulosa (Clouded leopard)
Lineage: Eukaryota; Metazoa; Chordata; Mammalia; Carnivora; Felidae
Exons: 3
Source: RefSeq, a predicted model, not a curated record
AGGAAUCCACUUCUGUGGCGGUCAUGAAGCCCAAGCUGGGUUAAUAGUGACUCCUGGAGGGAGCGGAGAAGAGAGUAAGGAAACAGCCUGAAAUCAAAGUGAACCAAGAAAAUUAAAUGUGGUUAUACCUGCAAGUUGCAUC